Molecule: transfer RNA, 59 nt
Filed under: Marellia remipes
Lineage: Eukaryota; Metazoa; Arthropoda; Insecta; Orthoptera; Acrididae
Description: partial tRNA-Gln
Source: RNAcentral
UAUAAAAGUGUAUGAUGCACGUUAGUUUUUGAUUCUAGAGGUAAUAGUCUGUCUCUUAU